This 492-nucleotide ribosomal RNA is filed under the name uncultured bacterium. Its description in RNAcentral is "partial 16S ribosomal RNA". It matches the Rfam family "Bacterial small subunit ribosomal RNA", at positions 29 to 507 of the family's 1533-position model. The record is from RNAcentral.
AGUGAACGCUGGCGGUAGGCCUAACACAUGCAAGUCGAACGGCAGCACAGUAAGAGCUUGCUCUUACGGGUGGCGAGUGGCGGACGGGUGAGGAAUACAUCGGAAUCUACUUUUUCGUGGGGGAUAACGUAGGGAAACUUACGCUAAUACCGCAUACGACCUACGGGUGGAAGCAGGGGAUCUUCGGACCUUGCGCGAUUGAAUGAGCCGAUGUCGGAUUAGCUAGUUGGCGGGGUAAAGGCCCACCAAGGCGACGAUCCGUAGCUGGUCUGAGAGGAUGAUCAGCCACACUGGAACUGAGACACGGUCCAGACUCCUACGGGAGGCAGCAGUGGGGAACAUUGGACAAUGGGCGCAAGCCUGAUCCAGCCAUACCGCGUGGGUGAAGAAGGCCUUCGGGUUGUAAAGCCCUUUUGUUGGGAAAGAAAAGCAGCAGGUUAAUACCCCGCUGUUCUGACGGUACCCAAAGAAUAAGCACCGGCUAACUUCGUG